UAGCAAUUAUACAGCGAAACUGCGAAUGGCUCAUUAUAUAAGUUAUCGUUUAUUUGAUAGUACCUUACUACUUGGAUAACCGUGGUAAUUCUAGAGCUAAUACAUGCUAAAAAUCCCGACUUCGGAAGGGAUGUAUUUAUUAGAUUAAAAACCAAUGCCCUUCGGGGCUCCUUGGUGAUUCAUGAUAACUUCUCGAAUCGCAUGGCCUUGCGCCGGCGAUGGUUCAUUCAAAUUUCUUCCCUAUCAACUUUCGAUGUUUGGGUAUUGGCCAAACAUGGUUGCAACGGGUAACGGAGGGUUAGGGCUCGACCCCGGAGAAGGAGCCUGAGAAACGGCUACUACAUCCAAGGAAGGCAGCAGGCGCGCAAAUUACCCAAUCCCGACACGGGGAGGUAGUGACAAUAAAUACUGAUACAGGGCUCUUUUGGGUCUUGUAAUUGGAAUGAGUACAAUUUAAAUCCCUUAACGAGGAACAAUUGGAGGGCAAGUCUGGUGCCAGCAGCCGCGGUAAUUCCAGCUCCAAUAGCGUAUAUUAAAGUUGUUGUGGUUAAAAAGCUCGUAGUUGAACCUUGGGCCUGGCUGGCCGGUCCGCCUCACCGCGUGUACUGGUCCGGCCGGGCCUUUCCCUCUGUGGAACCCCAUGCCCUUCACUGGGUGUGGCGGGGAAACAGGACUUUUACUUUGAAAAAAUUAGAGUGCUCCAGGCAGGCCUAUGCUCGAAUACAUUAGCAUGGAAUAAUAGAAUAGGACGUGUGGUUCUAUUUUGUUGGUUUCUAGGACCGCCGUAAUGAUUAAUAGGGACAGUCGGGGGCAUCAGUAUUCCGUUGUCAGAGGUGAAAUUCUUGGAUUUACGGAAGACUAACUACUGCGAAAGCAUUUGCCAAGGAUGUUUUCAUUAAUCAGGAACGAAAGUUAGGGGAUCGAAGACGAUCAGAUACCGUCGUAGUCUUAACCAUAAACUAUGCCGACUAGGGAUCGGACGAUGUUAUUUUUUGACUCGUUCGGCACCUUACGAGAAAUCAAAGUGCU
This 1029-nucleotide ribosomal RNA is filed under the name Nectria asiatica. Its description in RNAcentral is "SSU rRNA". It matches the Rfam family "Eukaryotic small subunit ribosomal RNA", at positions 67 to 1107 of the family's 1831-position model. Lineage: Eukaryota; Fungi; Ascomycota; Sordariomycetes; Hypocreales; Nectriaceae. The record is from RNAcentral.